RNAcentral lists this unclassified non-coding RNA (339 nucleotides) under soil metagenome. RNAcentral describes it as "partial contains 5.8S ribosomal RNA, internal transcribed spacer 2, and large subunit ribosomal RNA". The stretch from base 1 to 120 matches the Rfam family "5.8S ribosomal RNA", at positions 35 to 154 of the family's 154-position model. The record is from RNAcentral.
GAUGAAGAACGCAGCGAAAUGCGAUACGUAGUGUGAAUUGCAGAAUUCAGUGAAUCAUCGAAUCUUUGAACGCACAUUGCACCUCUCGGUAUUCCGGGAGGUAUGCCUGUUCGAGCGUCAUUUGUACCCUCAAGCUCUGCUUGGUGUUGGGUGUUUGUUCCGCCUCUGUGUGUGAACUCGCCUCAAAACAAUUGGCAGCCGGCGUACUUGUUUCGGAGCGCAGCACAUUUUGCGAUCCAGAUCAACGUACAGCGGCAUCCAAGAAGCCUUAUUUAACGCUCUUGACCUCGGAUCAGGUAGGGAUACCCGCUGAACCUAAGCAUAUCAAUAAGCGGAGGA